RNAcentral lists this ribosomal RNA (329 nucleotides) under uncultured Glomeromycotina. Its description in RNAcentral is "eukaryotic LSU rRNA". The record is from RNAcentral. Lineage: Eukaryota; Fungi; Glomeromycota.
CAGUCGUACCUGCGGGUAAUCAGCCUUUUGGGUGUGAUUAUGUGGAGCGUGAGGAGUUAAUCACCCUCAUCUUUGCAUAUUCGUGCACUUUGGGUGUACUUGCUCGUGUGGUAGGUUAACAUCAAUUUUGAUCAUCAUAAAAUGAUUGGAGGAAUGUAGCUUCGAUCUCGUAUUGAAGUGUUAUAGACUUUGGUAGAUGUGAUGAUCGGGAUUGAGGAUUGCAACGGAUACCCUUCGGGGCUACCCGUCUGAUCUCUGAAAGUUGCUCUGGUGCUGAAAGCUUGCUUAUGGUAUCAAAGUUGACGUUCAAUAGGUUAGAACGGGAUAAA